UACUCCUACGGGAGGCAGCAGUGGGGAAUAUUGCGCAAUGGGGGGAACCCUGACGCAGCCAUGCCGCGUGAAUGAAGAAGGCCUUCGGGUUGUAAAGUUCUUUCGGUAUUGAGGAAGGUUGAUGUGUUAAUAGCACAUCAAAUUGACGUUAAAUACAGAAGAAGCACCGGCUAACUCCGUGCCAGCAGCCGCGGUAAUACGGAGGGUGCGAGCGUUAAUCGGAAUAACUGGGCGUAAAGGGCACGCAGGCGGUUAUUUAAGUGAGGUGUGAAAGCCCCGGGCUUAACCUGGGAAUUGCAUUUCAGGCUGGGUAACUAGAGUACUUUAGGGAGGGGUAGAAUUCCACGUGUAGCGGUGAAAUGCGUAGAGAUGUGGAGGAAUACCGAAGGCGAAGGCAGCCCCUUGGGAAUGUACUGACGCUCAUGUGCGAAAGCGUGGGGAGCAAACAGGAUUAGAUACCCUGGUAGUCCACGCUGUAAACGCUGUCGAUUUGGGGGUUGGGGUUUAACUCUGGCGCCCGUAGCUAACGUGAUAAAUCGACCGCCUGGGGAGUACGGCCGCAAGGUUAAAACUCAAAUGAAUUGACGG
Molecule: ribosomal RNA, 588 nt
Filed under: uncultured bacterium
Lineage: Bacteria
Description: bacterial SSU rRNA
Rfam family: Bacterial small subunit ribosomal RNA
Source: RNAcentral